Molecule: long non-coding RNA, 1502 nt
Filed under: Heterocephalus glaber (naked mole-rat)
Lineage: Eukaryota; Metazoa; Chordata; Mammalia; Rodentia; Bathyergidae
Description: lncRNA (ENSHGLG00000044119.1)
Source: RNAcentral
AUGCAGCCUAUCUGCCAUCAGAAGCCUUUCAUUGCCUGCCUGCUAGCCUGUGAAUCUCACCUUCUACAUAGCAGAAAACAGCCCGAACAGGCAGGCUUGAACUACUGGGCUCAAGUGAUGUCCCUGCCUCAACCUCCUGAGUAGCUGGAGCUAUAGGUAUAUACCAUCAUGGCUGGCUGCGGCCGUCGUUUAAAACAAACUAACUCAGAACUGAUGAGAAAAUUGUGCCAUGGCAAAUAUGAUUUGCAAUCAUGUCAUUCAUUCAUUCAUCCCAUCAACCAGGGCUCACUGUGAGGCUAGACUGAGUCCUAGAGCAAUUGAGAGCUGGGCUCAUGGACCAAAAUGUGGAGACCAGCUUCGUGUCAUACUUUGAUGUUGGACCGAAUCAUGACACAGCCUCUAUAGUGUCACCCUUCUCUCAGUCAGAUAAUGGAGAACACUCACACCCAUCCUACCUGGUUUCCAUGUUGCUACUAAGGAGCAUCAAGCUAAUCUCCAAGAAUAACAAAACUGAAACUUUGUUUGAAAGAAAGUCAUAUAUAAUGAGGCGCUGUGGACACCUUGUCCAGAUCCACCUAAAGGCCCACAGAACAAGGCCCUAAGUCACAUCACAGGGGACCUUACUAGAGGCUCAUUCGAAAUCCUUGAGUGACAUCUACUUUAAAAUACUGUAAUCCACUCUGAACCAGGCACUUACUAGUUUAUCUGCACCGUGACCAUAUGCAGAUAUGACCUGACCAUAUGUCUCCGAUUUUCCCCCUUCAAUGACUACGUUUAGAUAAAUUCAGAAUUUUGAGUUUUAACUGUCCCAUUCUUAGAGCUGUUAAGACAGUAAUAGAUUAAAUAGGAUGAGCCAGGCAGCCAUACUUCUUGUACAGUUAUCCCCAGAGAUAAAUGUACAAUGUUGUUCUGGGGGCUGUGGUGGUGUCUGCAGUGUAACUAAGGUUGACAGACUGCCUGCAUGUGGGUGGCUGUCUCCUUUCCAGCUGUGACCAGCUGAAUUAUAUCACCUGUCCCAUUUGAUGUAUUAGGAUAUGCCCAAGCUCAAGAUGCAUGUUGCUGCAAUAGGGAAAUUAAUGUCCACCACUGGAGGCAAUUAAUAAUGAUUAAAAGCAAAACAGCAGGGUUAAAUCUGUGCAUUUAACGGAGUGUUCAUACACUUUUAUACUAUAUUUCAGCCUAGUUGCUCAAAGGGGAAAAAAACUCUUUUGGGGAACUAGAACAAUCUUAUCUUAAUUAACACAUAAACUUAGAUGAAAUGUCAAAGUUGCUUCAAUAAAACAUGCUUAUUCAUUAUUUACUCAGUUCUCCCUUGAUGUAGUUGGAGAGAAACAUAGCACAAAAAGUAGUAGACUAUUAGAGAGAAAUGUUAAGAUUAAGUUGUAUAGUGAGCAGAACACUCAGACUUUGGAACUGCUUCAUUCAACCUAUGAAUUGGAGAAAGAUAUUUUCACAACUUUUAUUUUACAGUUCUUUAGUUAAUGCAUUAAAAAUUAGCAACA